Molecule: long non-coding RNA, 233 nt
Filed under: Brassica napus (rape)
Lineage: Eukaryota; Viridiplantae; Streptophyta; Magnoliopsida; Brassicales; Brassicaceae
Description: long non-coding RNA (BNAP_LNC003417)
Source: RNAcentral
UCAGCAGAAGAAAGAUUCAGACGCAAGGAAGAUUAAUAAACAUAGACAUAAACAAAAACUAUACAUCAAGAGCAUCAAGCUUAUCACUAUAGAUUCAAGCAUUUCCCUCUAAUCUAAUCAGAUCACCAUCAAAAGCAUUAAGGUUUACAGUAGACAUUCGCAGAGAACAAGCAUCAAGCUUUACCGCAGAUGAAAAAGAUAAAACAUCACUCAACUCAACAUCUACACUAAUC